GGCAAACAAUAGCGGUUAUAACAGACGACCGGCGGCCGAGAUGAAGGUGUCGCGCGACAGCCUCGGUCGAGGCCUCGAAGUGGAGGCUGCGCUCGUGGACGAGGCAGCGUGGGAACUGAAGGAGGCUGUUGCGUCCAUGGCUGUUGGGUCUUUGGAUAUGGAUGUGGACUCGCCACCGCAUCUCCCCGUAGAGACCUUUGCUAACAGGAUUUCAUUGAGCUGGACACAGCCUUUUGAUGCAAGGCGAGAGCUCGGGGCGAUGACAAGGUUUGCCUUCCAUCCUUCUUGUGUCUUCAUCAAUGAUGAACACUAGCUGAGAUCAAGUUAAGUUUAGUUUGCAAAGAAAAGGAUGGGUCCAAGAUUCAAUCUAUAGGAAGUCAUUGGCCAAAUGGCAAAGUCCACCAGCAGGUCAUCUCUGAGACUCUGAUAUAAACUGCUUCAAUGAUUGAGCACUAUACUACAUUGCAAACAUUUUAGCACCUUGUGACUGUGUGUGUGACUUGAUGAUUAGAUGUUAUUAGUGAUUGAAAUAAUCCU
This is a long non-coding RNA of Panicum virgatum (switchgrass), 537 nucleotides long. RefSeq lists it as uncharacterized. The transcript is spliced from 2 exons. The record is from RefSeq and is a predicted model, not a curated record. NCBI's taxonomy places the organism in Eukaryota, Viridiplantae, Streptophyta, Magnoliopsida, Poales, Poaceae.